UACGUAGGCAGCGAGCGUUGUUCGGAGUUACUGGGCGUAAAGGGUGUGUAGGCGGUUCUCUAAGUUUGGUGUGAAAUCUCCCGGCUCAACCGGGAGGGUGCGCCGAAAACUGGAGGGCUAGAGUGCGGGAAGGGAGAGUAGAAUUCCUGGUGUAGCGGUGAAAUGCGUAGAUAUCAGGAGGAACACCGGUGGUGUAGACGGCUUACUGGACCAUAACUGACGCUGAGACACGAAAGCGUGGGUAGCAAACAGG
Molecule: ribosomal RNA, 253 nt
Filed under: uncultured bacterium
Lineage: Bacteria
Description: partial 16S ribosomal RNA
Rfam family: Bacterial small subunit ribosomal RNA
Source: RNAcentral